GGGUCAGUAGGUUGGUCGUGCCACCGGUACGUACUGGUCUCACUGAUUCCUCCUUCCUGAAGAACCGUAAUGCCAUUAAUUUGGUGUUGCGGGGAAACAGGACUGUCACUUUGAAAAAAUUAGAGUGUUUAAAGCAAGCUAGCGCUUGAAUACAUUAGCAUGGAAUAAUGAAAUAGGACGAUCGAUCCUAUUUUGUUGGUUUCUAGGAUUGACGUA
This 216-nucleotide ribosomal RNA is filed under the name Glomeromycotina sp. Its description in RNAcentral is "partial small subunit ribosomal RNA". The stretch from base 40 to 216 matches the Rfam family "Eukaryotic small subunit ribosomal RNA", at positions 686 to 864 of the family's 1831-position model. The record is from RNAcentral. Lineage: Eukaryota; Fungi; Glomeromycota.